GGACUACACGGGUAUCUAAUCCUGUUUGAUCCCCACGCUUUCGUGCCUCAGCGUCAAUAUAUGCGUAGCCUGCUGCCUUCGCAAUUGGUGUUCUAUGUCAUCUCUAAGCAUUUCACCGCUACAUGACAUAUUCCGCAGACCUCCACAAUAUUCAAGACAGAUAGUAUCAAUGGCAGUUUUCGGGUUAAGCCCAAAGAUUUCACCACUGACUUAACUGCCCGCCUACGCACCCUUUAAACCCAGUGAAUCCGGAUAACGCUUGCACCCUCCGUAUUACCGCGGCGGCUGGCAC
Molecule: ribosomal RNA, 292 nt
Filed under: uncultured Bacteroidota bacterium
Lineage: Bacteria; Pseudomonadati; Bacteroidota
Description: uncultured Bacteroidetes bacterium partial 16S ribosomal RNA
Source: RNAcentral